GUGAGNACGUGNGUNGAUUGCUAGCGAUUCCGACUUCAUGGAGGAGAAGUGUAGUCAGCCUGCCAUUCCGGACUUACGACUUGUCAUUUUGGGGAUUCAGUCAUGCAUUUCGUUAGGUUGGUGCUCUUUGUAGCUUGCAACGUGAUUGCCAGUGUGUAGCCUUCCUGCCCCANGAGCCACUUUAGCCACCGUAGGCG
RNAcentral lists this ribosomal RNA (197 nucleotides) under uncultured bacterium. RNAcentral describes it as "partial 16S ribosomal RNA". The record is from RNAcentral.